AGAAUCAACGCUGGCGGCGUGCCUAACACAUGCAAGUCGAACGAGAAAGGGGUAGCAAUACCCUGAGUAAAGUGGCGCACGGGUGAGUAACACGUGACUAACCUACCCUUGAGUGGGGGAUAACUGAGGGAAACCUUAGCUAAUACCGCAUAAUACCCACGGGUCAAAGGAGCAAUUCGCUCGAGGAGGGGGUCGCGGCCGAUUAGUUAGUUGGCGGGGUAAUGGCCCACCAAGACGAUGAUCGGUAUCCGGCCUGAGAGGGCGCACGGACACACUGGAACUGAAACACGGUCCAGACUCCUACGGGAGGCAGCAGUGGGGAAUUUGCGCAAUGGGGGAAACCCUGACGCAGCAACGCCGCGUGGAGGAUGAAGUCCUUCGGGACGUAAACUCCUUUCGAUCGGGACGAUUAUGACGGUACCGGAAGAAGAAGCCCCGGCUAACUUCGCGCCAGCAGCCGC
This 461-nucleotide ribosomal RNA is filed under the name uncultured bacterium. RNAcentral's name for it is "SSU rRNA". It matches the Rfam family "Bacterial small subunit ribosomal RNA", at positions 26 to 518 of the family's 1533-position model. The record is from RNAcentral.